GAAGUGCGAUAAGCAGUGCGAAUUGCAGAACCGUGAGUCAUCAGAUUUUUGAACGCAACUGGCGCUGGCUGGGUCUCCAGCCAGCAUGCUUGUUUCAGUGUCUUGUUUUCUCCUCACCCAGAUCAUAAUGCGAGAGAUGCCCUUCUCUUGCCAAGUACGAAAGCGCUCUGCGCUCUGCGAGCGGCGGCUCCGACUUGCUCGGGGUGCCGCACUCAAUGCAGCCGUCACAUUGCUCACAAUGUGAACUCAUUGAGAGCCGAGGCAGUGCAGCAUUUGCUGCCAGUGCUUAGCCAGUCAAACUCUCCUUGUAUCUGAAAUCAAGCAGGAUAACCCGCUGAACUUAA
Molecule: unclassified non-coding RNA, 344 nt
Filed under: uncultured fungus
Lineage: Eukaryota; Fungi
Description: sequence contains ITS1
Rfam family: 5.8S ribosomal RNA (bases 1-103)
Source: RNAcentral